Molecule: small nucleolar RNA, 84 nt
Filed under: Cyphellophora attinorum
Lineage: Eukaryota; Fungi; Ascomycota; Eurotiomycetes; Chaetothyriales; Cyphellophoraceae
Description: Phialophora attae A. fimigatus snoRNA Afu_298
Rfam family: A. fimigatus snoRNA Afu_298
Source: Rfam by way of RNAcentral
ACAGAUGAUGAUCAAUUUUUAACCCCGAGAUCUCCAAUGAAGAUCAAAAACAUGCAACAACAAUACUCUAAUUUUUUGCUGAUG